GCCCAGCAGGUUAGUUCAUUUCUUUCUGAUUGGCCCUUGUCCUUCUUAUUCCCGCCUCUGCAGGUAUACUGAGAAUUAUGAUUGGAUGAAGGGGUGGAGUUUAGAACUGCAGAUCGGUGUGAGAGUUUAGUUAACGAUGUGACUGGGAGGAAUUCAUGGACCAGUUGGGACUUACCUCGGAUGUGCUUUGGAGUAUCGUUGCUAUGGCGAUAAAGGAUCGGUUCGGUAGAGGAGGUACAGAAAGAUCUACAGGUUCAGAGGAGGGAAUUUGGUGUUCCAGCCGCCUGGGAAGCCGUUCAGCUGACCAGAGUCCGCUCUUCCAGAACCAGAACCCAUGCAGGUGGAUCCUACUGGUGUCUCACUGUCAGAGCGCCAUGGAAGACUUACUCUAGGAUCGUGUCUAUACUGUGGAGCAUCGGGGCAUACCAUCAUCUCAUGCCCCAUUCGCCCACCACCACCACACCUGUCUCAGCCCUCCUCCAUUCAGGAUUAACUAAUUAAACCACAUAAGUCCGUCCCACACCACUGUAUUAUUAGAUAAAGUGCUGUGAUCUUAUAUGAUAAAACAUUUAAUAAGGUGUUAAUACGAUCAGUUCUGCUUAUAAAACAUUUCUCAUUAAUUAAAUGAAAAAUAGUACCUUUUAUUUUUUAUGUUUACAAUGUUAACAAACUUAUUGAUGCUGUACCUGUUCCAUCCUCCACAUUUUGCUCACCUAGUUUGUCUGGCACAUCCUUCUCUACCUUUUCACACAAAUGGACACUGAGCUGCUCACUAGGGAGGAAUCACAUAUGAAAGUUACCACUUACUUACUUGUUCCCCUCCCUACAAGCUUGUUUAAAUCCUGUUUGUAUUCAUUGUGCCCUGCUGUUCUCAGUAUUGUAAAUGAUUCCCUGCAUACUGGUGUUGUGCCAGCA
Molecule: long non-coding RNA, 915 nt
Organism: Tachysurus fulvidraco (yellow catfish)
Lineage: Eukaryota; Metazoa; Chordata; Actinopteri; Siluriformes; Bagridae
Exons: 4
Source: RefSeq, a predicted model, not a curated record